RNAcentral lists this ribosomal RNA (520 nucleotides) under uncultured Glomus. Its description in RNAcentral is "SSU rRNA". It matches the Rfam family "Eukaryotic small subunit ribosomal RNA", at positions 569 to 1091 of the family's 1831-position model. The record is from RNAcentral. Lineage: Eukaryota; Fungi; Glomeromycota; Glomeromycetes; Glomerales; Glomeraceae.
AGCAGCCGCGGUAAUUCCAGCUCCAAUAGCGUAUAUUAAAGUUGUUGCAGUUAAAAAGCUCGUAGUUGAAUUUCGAGAUCAAAUUGUUGGUCGUGCCUUGGUACGCACUGGCAUUAUUGGUUUCUCCCUUCUGAAGAACCAAGAUGUCAUUAAUUUGGUGUCUUGGGGAAUCAGGACUGUUACUUUGAAAAAAUUAGAGUGUUUAAAGCAGGCUCGCGCUUGAAUACAUUAGCAUGGAAUAAUGAAAUAGGACGUUUGAUUCUAUUUUGUUGGUUUCUAGGAUCGACGUAAUGGUUAAUAGGGAUAGUUGGGGGCAUUAGUAUUCAAUUGUCAGAGGUGAAAUUCUUGGAUUUAUUGAAGUACUAACUACUGCGAAAGCAUUUGCCAAGGAUGUUUUCAUUAAUCAAGAACGAAAGUUAGGGGAUCGAAGACGAUCAGAUACCGUCGUAGUCUUAACCAUAAACUAUGCCGACUAGGGAUCGGAUGAUGUUAAUUUUUAAUGACUCAUUCGGCGCCUUAA